This 253-nucleotide ribosomal RNA is filed under the name uncultured prokaryote. RNAcentral describes it as "partial 16S ribosomal RNA". It matches the Rfam family "Bacterial small subunit ribosomal RNA", at positions 524 to 776 of the family's 1533-position model. The record is from RNAcentral.
CACGUAGGGCGCGAGCGUUGUCCGGAAUUAUUGGGCGUAAAGAGCUCGUAGGCGGCCUGUUGCGUCCGCUGUGAAAGCCCGGGGCUUAACCCCGGGUCGGCAGUGGAUACGGGCAGGCUAGAGGUAGGUAGGGGAGAAUGGAAUUCCCGGUGUAGCGGUGAAAUUCGUAGAUAUUAGGAAGAACACCAGUGGCGAAGGCGGCCAACUGGCCCGAUACUGACGCUCAUGUGCGAAAGCGUGGGGAGCAAACAGG